CUUCGGAUGCUUGCAACAGGACGUAUUUAAUGUUUUAAUUACAUAUCCUGCAGAUGCCAGCUGAGUGACAGAAUCAACAGCACAUGUUCCAGCCCAUAAACAAAUAAAACCGACACAAACUGCGAUGAAGUGAAGGAAUCGAGGGUCACUCACUCGACUCACCUCAGGUUUGAGCAGAUCGUGGGUGCCGACGAGUGCUUUGGGAACGACGAGGCGUCUGACUGACGAGGAUGUGUCCGAAUCAGCUGUGCCAACACACUUGGACCAGAGUAGGCUUGGGUGACGCUUGGACAUGCAGAAUUAGGGAUGUGUGUGGACUGUUACACCCAGCCAACAGAAGCAUGUGGACAGACAUUGACUGUAAUGAUGGACAUCUGCUCAUGCACAGGCGGACCUGGUGUGGCCUCCACUUCAAAAUCACACCAUUAAAAAGCGUGAAGACGCCAGGCAUUUCAGAUACUCCUUAACUUCCAAACGAGAAUGAGACAUGAAAUUGGAAUUUGGAAAAUAAACCCAACGAAGUCUUUAAGGGGUGAAGUAGUAAGUAUGAGAGGAGAUUUAUUGACAGAGAUUCUUGUCUAUGGUUUCCUACAGUUACCCGUCCAAUGAAAAAAGAAGAAAAAAAAGAAAAAAAAAGUGUCCCAUAGUUGCCUCUGUCACUUCUAUACAAGCCUUAGUGUUAUCUAUUUGGCUUGAGGGUUCUAUGUAUCUACAAAUAUAUAACAAAUAAAACUUGCAGGCAAAAAUAGUUUGGUUUUCAUAGAAACACCUUUUUUUUUCCUGAAAAUACAGCAGUAUCUGAAAUAUUUCUCAAUUCAUUUGUCCCCAUUUCUCUGCAUCAGGAAGCUCUUCCAUCAACGAACAGAAAAAAAAAAAAUAUCUACAAACUUUGUAAACAGACCUGUGUCUUCCAAAAAAUAAAAAACAAAAGCAUAAAUAAUAAUAAUUCAAAAUAUUAA
This is a long non-coding RNA of Cyprinus carpio (common carp), 959 nucleotides long. RefSeq lists it as uncharacterized. The record is from RefSeq and is a predicted model, not a curated record. Lineage: Eukaryota; Metazoa; Chordata; Actinopteri; Cypriniformes; Cyprinidae. The transcript has 4 exons.